Molecule: unclassified non-coding RNA, 378 nt
Filed under: plant metagenome
Description: partial contains 5.8S ribosomal RNA, internal transcribed spacer 2, and large subunit ribosomal RNA
Rfam family: 5.8S ribosomal RNA (bases 1-105)
Source: RNAcentral
GAAAUGCGAUAAGUAAUGUGAAUUGCAGGAUUCAGUGAAUCAUCGAAUCUUUGAACGCACCUUGCGCUCCUUGGUAUUCCUUGGAGCAUGCCUGUUUGAGUAUCAUGAAAUCUUCAAAGUAAAUCUUUUGUUAACUCAAUUGGUUUCUACUUUGGUAUUGGAGGUCUUUGCAGCUUCACACCUGCUCCUCUUUGUUCAUUAGCUGGAUCUCAGUGUUAUGCUUGGUUCCACUCGGCGUGAUAAGUUAUCUAUCGCUGAGGACACUGUAAAAGGUGGCCAAGGUAAAUGCAGAUGAACCGCUUCUAAUAGUCCAUUGACUUGGACAAUACUUUUAUGAUCUGAUCUCAAAUCAGGUAGGACUACCCGCUGAACUUAAGC